This is a long non-coding RNA of Salvia miltiorrhiza (redroot sage), 798 nucleotides long. RefSeq lists it as uncharacterized. The record is from RefSeq and is a predicted model, not a curated record. Lineage: Eukaryota; Viridiplantae; Streptophyta; Magnoliopsida; Lamiales; Lamiaceae. The transcript is spliced from 2 exons.
UUAGAAUUUGGAUAUCAUUUUAUUUAGGGUAAAUAUCACUUUAUGUCUCAUCGUUUGACUGAAUUAUCGAUUAUGUUCCAACUUUUUGAUAAUAUCUAAUUGGUAUCCAACCUACCAAUAUUUUUUUAAUUGUGUCCCGUAAAUUUUUUUUGGCGCCCGAGAGUUGACGUCGAACGCUGGAAACUAUUACGUGGAAUUAUUAAUUCACAUGGAAUUGUCAGCAUUAUUAAACUUAAAAAAAAAUGUACCUAUGUGGCACUAAAACAUACUAAUACUGAGGGUUUGAAGAAAAGAAUACCCAAAUCAUAGAAGAAGAACAACAGGGUACUCUUUGGUGGAAAUUCGAACCAAAAAUUGAAGAAGUUAGUGGAAAUUCGAACAAAAAUCCCAGGACAUACUCGUCGAUCUAGUCAAUCCGAAAUUGAAGAACUCUCUUCCAGAUAUUGCAGCUGGAGCAUUCGCGAAGUGUAGUCUCUUCGUCUCUACUCGUCAAUAAUUCUACGGGCAAGGGCACCUACGCUGCCCGCCUCUCGAAGAAAUGGCGUCCCCUUGUGUUCUUUUCAGAAUGUGGCAUGGUGGUUGUUUUGUGGCCGAUGACAAGGAGUAUGUAGGGAGGCAAGAUUAUAUUGAUGUUCCCGAAUUCUCCAUUCUUGGCAACGAGAUGAACGGCAUCCUUCUUCUUCAGUUUGCGCAUGAACAAUUGUCAAGUGAUUUUCAAUUUAUGAAACUAGGGUUUUAAGAUUUCAAGUUGUGGAAGAGAAAGACGAUGAACUAUAAAAAUUGAUUUAAAAACACUCU